RNAcentral lists this ribosomal RNA (478 nucleotides) under uncultured bacterium. RNAcentral's name for it is "partial 16S ribosomal RNA". It matches the Rfam family "Bacterial small subunit ribosomal RNA", at positions 28 to 507 of the family's 1533-position model. The record is from RNAcentral.
GAUGAACGCUGGCGGCGUGCUUAACACAUGCAAGUCGAACGGGAAAUAUUUCAUUGUGACUUCGGUGGAUUUGAUUUAUUUCUAGUGGCGGACGGGUGAGUAACGCGUGGGUAACCUGCCUUAUACAGGGGGAUAACAGUCAGAAAUGGCUGCUAAUACCGCAUAAGCGCACAGAGCUGCAUGGCUCAGUGUGAAAAACUCGGGUGGUAUAAGAUGGACCCGCGUUGGAUUAGCUAGUUGGUGGGGUAACGGCCCACCAAGGCGACGUUCCAUAGCCGGGCUGAGAGGGUGAGCGGCGACAUUGGGACUGAGACACGGCCCAGACUCCUACGGGAGGCAGCAGUGGGGAAUAGUGCAAAAUGGGGGAAACCCUGAUGCAGCGACGCCGCGUGAAGGAAGAAGUAUGUCGGUAUGUAAACUUCUAUCAGCAGGGAAGAUAGUGACGGUACCUGACUAAGAAGCCCCGGCUAACUACGUG